This is a long non-coding RNA of Hemicordylus capensis (graceful crag lizard), 442 nucleotides long. RefSeq lists it as uncharacterized. The record is from RefSeq and is a predicted model, not a curated record. Lineage: Eukaryota; Metazoa; Chordata; Lepidosauria; Squamata; Cordylidae. The transcript is spliced from 3 exons.
GCCUCCGUGUAGGCCUCCGUGAAGCCUGGAUUCGAGUAGGCUGGCCAGCCCCAGGAAGAAGGCUGGCCGUCAGAGGGGCCACCCCAGUUUUCUGCAGCAGACCCUCUUCCCAGGCCAGACAGCUCAGCCUUGGCCAGGGAUUUGACAAGCUGAACCUAAGGACAGCCCACUACACACCCCUUCCCUCCAGCUGCAAUCACUUGAAAAGAGAGACUGCUGAGUAUGUGAGGCAAGAUCCUCGGCAGACUCAGAGUACAUCUUGCCCCUGCUGUGUUUUUCCUGCAACUUGGUCAUGGCAUUCAGUAAUUGGAAUGAGUCCAGAGCGUCUGAAACCCACGAGCGUAAAUGGGGGGUGACGUUCCUCUCCCUCCCUGCACGCAAUUCUACAAAGCUGAUGAAUCUUUAUAUACCGCCUCUCAAGUUCCCAAAGCGGUUGACAUAG